RNAcentral lists this ribosomal RNA (396 nucleotides) under uncultured bacterium. RNAcentral's name for it is "bacterial SSU rRNA". It matches the Rfam family "Bacterial small subunit ribosomal RNA", at positions 30 to 429 of the family's 1533-position model. The record is from RNAcentral.
AUUGAACGCUGGCGGCAUGCCUUACACAUGCAAGUCGAACGGCAGCGGACCUUCGGGUGCCGGCGAGUGGCGAACGGGUGAGUAAUAUAUCGGAACGUACCUUUCAGUGGGGGAUAACGUAGCGAAAGUUACGCUAAUACCGCAUAUUCUGUGAGCAGGAAAGCAGGGGGAUCGCAAGACCUUGCGCUGAUUGAGCGGCCGAUAUCAGAUUAGCUAGUUGGUGAGGUAAAGGCUCACCAAGGUGACGAUCUGUAGCGGGUCUGAGAGGAUGAUCCGCCACACUGGAACUGAGACACGGUCCAGACUCCUACGGGAGGCAGCAGUGGGGAAUUUUGGACAAUGGGCGCAAGCCUGAUCCAGCCAUGCCGCGUGAGUGAAGAAGGCCUCGGUUGUAAG